GCCUGGCUGGCUCAGCUGGAGGAGCAUGUGACUCUUGAUCUCAGGAUUGCGAGUUCGAGCCCCGUGUUGAGUA
This 73-nucleotide transfer RNA is filed under the name Ailuropoda melanoleuca (giant panda). It matches the Rfam family "tRNA". From Rfam's summary of the family: Transfer RNA (tRNA) molecules are approximately 80 nucleotides in length. Lineage: Eukaryota; Metazoa; Chordata; Mammalia; Carnivora; Ursidae. The record is from Rfam by way of RNAcentral.